This 519-nucleotide ribosomal RNA is filed under the name Triticum aestivum (bread wheat). RNAcentral describes it as "partial small subunit ribosomal RNA". The record is from RNAcentral. Lineage: Eukaryota; Viridiplantae; Streptophyta; Magnoliopsida; Poales; Poaceae.
AUGGAUUUUUCUAGGUUUGAUGGGUCUGAUGUGAGAAUUUGGCUCGAUAAAUGUGAGGCGUUCUUCAGGCUGUACCACAUACCUGACAGUUUUAAGGUUACGUCGGCCUCGCUAUAUCUAAUAGAUAAUGCAGCUCACUGGUACCAAGCAUUCAAACAAACAGGUGCACUGCACACUUGGGACCAAUUUUGUCAAGCGAUUUUGCAAGAGUUUGAUGUGAAUGUAUAUCGACAAAAGAUGAAGGACCUGAUGAUGCUCAAACAGACAACUACUGUGGAGGAAUACAAGCAACAACUCUUAGAACUGGUGUACAUAGUCAAGUUAUAUGAGCCUACAAUCAGUGAUACAUUCCUAGUCACUCGAUUUAUCAUGGGGCUCAAGGAGGAGCUCAGGUCAGGAGUGGAACUGCAAAUUCGGUCAAAUGUGCAACUAGCAGCUCUUUAUGCAUCAGUUCAGGAGGGUUUACUCUUGCAACAGAAAUCCACCAAAUCAAGUUUUACCAAGACACCAUAUGCAUAG